Molecule: long non-coding RNA, 439 nt
Organism: Gigantopelta aegis
Lineage: Eukaryota; Metazoa; Mollusca; Gastropoda; Neomphalida; Peltospiridae
Exons: 3
Source: RefSeq, a predicted model, not a curated record
GUGAUUGAAUACCAAAAAAGUGUUUCCUGAAAAUCUCUAUUUAAAGGAAUUGUGCCUACGUUUCUCAAUAUCAUUGUCUUAGAACAUUUUGGUAGUUCACAUCUCAGAAAAGGAAACGUAACUGACCAACAUGUUGAAUGCACUGAUAGUUCUCUUCCUGGUUUGCCUGGUAAUCGCCACUGUUACCAGCACCGGCAUGUACGGCGGUUACGGAGGAUAUGGCGGAUAUGGAGGAUAUGGAGGAGGAUACGGAGGAGGAUACGGAGGAAUGUGGGGCGGUAGAUACAUGGGCUAGUGACAAGCAGGGUGUGGUCUUCGCUUGAAGAAUCUACUGACAGAAAACGUCAACAUGUAUUGUAACCAAAGUACAUGCUGUCGUGUAUUAACAUGUAUUGAAAACAAAGUACACGCUGCAGAAUAAAACAAUUUGUCAGAGAUC